Octopus sinensis (East Asian common octopus) is the source of this 535-nucleotide long non-coding RNA. RefSeq lists it as uncharacterized. NCBI's taxonomy places the organism in Eukaryota, Metazoa, Mollusca, Cephalopoda, Octopoda, Octopodidae. The transcript is spliced from 3 exons. The record is from RefSeq and is a predicted model, not a curated record.
UUGAUCAAAAACAUCCACCAGAAAUAAUAAGACGUCAUCAAAAUUAUAACGAAUCCAAAAUUAGACCUUUUCGCGUAAAAACAUUUAUAUACACAAGAUAUUCUCUUAUCCACACAAAACACCAUUAAAAGCGAAGAGCCCCGUACGCGACGGAAAAAGAACCACACGCACGACGACAGAAACUUUUAUCGCCUUGGCUCGAUUUACUGGUAUUUCCUUAUAAACGCUGUGCAUGAUGUUGGAAUUUAGAAUUUGAAUGCGUGGAUAGAGGCUGACACAUUACUCUUGCCGGUCGGAACAUAUGUUAAGUGCCAAGGUCGGAUAAGCGGUUGAUCCAUUAAUUUCUUGUGAAGGAAUAAACAUAAGGGAGAUGAAUGUUUGUGGAGCCAUGUUGGAGAAUUAUUCGAAUAUUAGAUUGUUCAUUUCAGUUGUUAUGAUUUGAACCCCCAAAGCAUGUAAUGAAGAGGAUAUCUUCCAAUAAACUCUUUUCCGGAACCAAACGUGAUAUAUUCUUCUUUCAAUUAUUCUUGCUUAU